GCAAAAGAGAAGUUGCUGUUGAAGCACUGGUUCUAUUAUCACGCCUCUCCAGCCCUUUGGAGUCCCGGCCUCCAGCUUUUGAAACCGUCCCCGGGGCAACAGAGUCCCUUGCUCAGAUGUCGUUCGGUAUCUGGGACUGGGAGGGGUCCUGGACCACACGCAUUCUCACUCUGUGAUUUUGCUUAUCCCCCAGGUCCAUUCUCCUUUCUCCACUCUGGAAUGCCCUCCUCCCACCAAGGCCCACGCCAGAUGGAGGUGGAUGCCACACCCACA
RNAcentral lists this long non-coding RNA (273 nucleotides) under Homo sapiens (human). RNAcentral describes it as "non-protein coding lnc-ARFIP1-1:4". Lineage: Eukaryota; Metazoa; Chordata; Mammalia; Primates; Hominidae. The record is from RNAcentral.